AAUGUUUCUUCGUUGAAUUUAUUUUCAAUUUAUUAUACAAAACAAUGAUUGUGUACUACGGUUUGUUACGAUAUCGUACCAUAAUUGGUCACUGAAACAAUUUCUACAUUUAAAACGAGUCAAAGGUGGUAAAAACUUAAUAACCUACAAAGAGAAGAAUGUGAUACUCUUCUCUCAAACUCGCAUCAGUAACCUAAUAUAAAACAGCGGUACAUGAUACGAAAGACAGUUGAGAUAAUACCUGCAAUUAUCCUCCUACCUCUUAGCGAAAGGAGUACAGUCAUAAACGUGCUUCACCGCCAAAAUACAAUACGACACCGACAUACUCUAUAAAGCUGCACUUUCAUUCACCCAUCAUCCCUCAUAAUUCCUCCAACGAUUUUAGAAAUCGAUGGCCACAGCCUCGAUAAUGAUGCUCAACAAGAAUACAAUACUUUUUUUCAUAAAAUAGUUUG
Molecule: long non-coding RNA, 455 nt
Organism: Apis dorsata (giant honeybee)
Lineage: Eukaryota; Metazoa; Arthropoda; Insecta; Hymenoptera; Apidae
Exons: 2
Source: RefSeq, a predicted model, not a curated record